RNAcentral lists this ribosomal RNA (2927 nucleotides) under Salmonella enterica subsp. enterica. RNAcentral describes it as "bacterial LSU rRNA". It matches the Rfam family "Bacterial large subunit ribosomal RNA". RNAcentral also lists the same sequence under 1 other name. The record is from RNAcentral. Lineage: Bacteria; Pseudomonadati; Pseudomonadota; Gammaproteobacteria; Enterobacterales; Enterobacteriaceae.
GGGUUGUGAGGUUAAGCGACUAAGCGUACACGGUGGAUGCCCUGGCAGUCAGAGGCGAUGAAGGGCGUGCUAAUCUGCGAUAAGCGCCGGUAAGGUGAUAUGAACCGUUAUAACCGGCGAUACCCGAAUGGGGAAACCCAGUGUGACUCGUCACACUAUCAUUAACUGAAUCCAUAGGUUAAUGAGGCGAACCGGGGGAACUGAAACAUCUAAGUACCCCGAGGAAAAGAAAUCAACCGAGAUUCCCCCAGUAGCGGCGAGCGAACGGGGAGGAGCCCAGAGCCUGAAUCAGCAUGUGUGUUAGUGGAAGCGUCUGGAAAGGCGCGCGAUACAGGGUGACAGCCCCGUACACAAAAGCGCAUGUGCUGUGAGCUCGAUGAGUAGGGCGGGACACGUGGUAUCCUGUCUGAAUAUGGGGGGACCAUCCUCCAAGGCUAAAUACUCCUGACUGACCGAUAGUGAACCAGUACCGUGAGGGAAAGGCGAAAAGAACCCCGGCGAGGGGAGUGAAAAAGAACCUGAAACCGUGUACGUACAAGCAGUGGGAGCACCCUUUGGGGUGUGACUGCGUACCUUUUGUAUAAUGGGUCAGCGACUUAUAUUCUGUAGCAAGGUUAACCGUAUAGGGGAGCCGGAGGGAAACCGAGUCUUAAUUGGGCGUUAAGUUGCAGGGUAUAGACCCGAAACCCGGUGAUCUAGCCAUGGGCAGGUUGAAGGUUGGGUAACACUAACUGGAGGACCGAACCGACUAAUGUUGAAAAAUUAGCGGAUGACCUGUGGCUGGGGGUGAAAGGCCAAUCAAACCGGGAGAUAGCUGGUUCUCCCCGAAAGCUAUUUAGGUAGCGCCUCGUGAAUUCAUCUCCGGGGGUAGAGCACUGUUUCGGCUAGGGGGCCAUCCCGGCUUACCAACCCGAUGCAAACUGCGAAUACCGGAGAAUGUUAUCACGGGAGACACACGGCGGGUGCUAACGUCCGUCGUGAAGAGGGAAACAACCCAGACCGCCAGCUAAGGUCCCAAAGUCAUGGUUAAGUGGGAAACGAUGUGGGAAGGCCCAGACAGCCAGGAUGUUGGCUUAGAAGCAGCCAUCAUUUAAAGAAAGCGUAAUAGCUCACUGGUCGAGUCGGCCUGCGCGGAAGAUGUAACGGGGCUAAACCAUGCACCGAAGCUGCGGCAGCGACACUCAGGUGUCGUUGGGUAGGGGAGCGUUCUGUAAGCCUGCGAAGGUGGCCUGUGAGGGUUGCUGGAGGUAUCAGAAGUGCGAAUGCUGACAUAAGUAACGAUAAAGCGGGUGAAAAGCCCGCUCGCCGGAAGACCAAGGGUUCCUGUCCAACGUUAAUCGGGGCAGGGUGAGUCGACCCCUAAGGCGAGGCCGAAAGGCGUAGUCGAUGGGAAACGGGUUAAUAUUCCCGUACUUGGUGUUACUGCGAAGGGGGGACGGAGAAGGCUAUGUUGGCCGGGCGACGGUUGUCCCGGUUUAAGCGUGUAGGUGUGUGUUCCAGGUAAAUCCGGUUCACUUUAACACUGAGGCGUGACGACGAGGCACUACGGUGCUGAAGCAACAAAUGCCCUGCUUCCAGGAAAAGCCUCUAAGCAUCAGGUAACAUCAAAUCGUACCCCAAACCGACACAGGUGGUCAGGUAGAGAAUACCAAGGCGCUUGAGAGAACUCGGGUGAAGGAACUAGGCAAAAUGGUGCCGUAACUUCGGGAGAAGGCACGCUGACACGUAGGUGAAGUGAUUUACUCAUGGAGCUGAAGUCAGUCGAAGAUACCAGCUGGCUGCAACUGUUUAUUAAAAACACAGCACUGUGCAAACACGAAAGUGGACGUAUACGGUGUGACGCCUGCCCGGUGCCGGAAGGUUAAUUGAUGGGGUCAGCGCAAGCGAAGCUCCUGAUCGAAGCCCCGGUAAACGGCGGCCGUAACUAUAACGGUCCUAAGGUAGCGAAAUUCCUUGUCGGGUAAGUUCCGACCUGCACGAAUGGCGUAAUGAUGGCCAGGCUGUCUCCACCCGAGACUCAGUGAAAUUGAACUCGCUGUGAAGAUGCAGUGUACCCGCGGCAAGACGGAAAGACCCCGUGAACCUUUACUAUAGCUUGACACUGAACAUUGAGCCUUGAUGUGUAGGAUAGGUGGGAGGCUUUGAAGUGUGGACGCCAGUCUGCAUGGAGCCGGCCUUGAAAUACCACCCUUUAAUGUUUGAUGUUCUAACGUGGACCCGUGAUCCGGGUUGCGGACAGUGUCUGGUGGGUAGUUUGACUGGGGCGGUCUCCUCCUAAAGAGUAACGGAGGAGCACGAAGGUUGGCUAAUCCUGGUCGGACAUCAGGAGGUUAGUGCAAUGGCAUAAGCCAGCUUGACUGCGAGCGUGACGGCGCGAGCAGGUGCGAAAGCAGGUCAUAGUGAUCCGGUGGUUCUGAAUGGAAGGGCCAUCGCUCAACGGAUAAAAGGUACUCCGGGGAUAACAGGCUGAUACCGCCCAAGAGUUCAUAUCGACGGCGGUGUUUGGCACCUCGAUGUCGGCUCAUCACAUCCUGGGGCUGAAGUAGGUCCCAAGGGUAUGGCUGUUCGCCAUUUAAAGUGGUACGCGAGCUGGGUUUAGAACGUCGUGAGACAGUUCGGUCCCUAUCUGCCGUGGGCGCUGGAGAACUGAGGGGGGCUGCUCCUAGUACGAGAGGACCGGAGUGGACGCAUCACUGGUGUUCGGGUUGUCAUGCCAAUGGCACUGCCCGGUAGCUAAAUGCGGAAGAGAUAAGUGCUGAAAGCAUCUAAGCACGAAACUUGCCCCGAGAUGAGUUCUCCCUGAGACUUAGAGUCUCCUGAAGGAACGUUGAAGACGACGACGUUGAUAGGCCGGGUGUGUAAGCGCAGCGAUGCGUUGAGCUAACCGGUACUAAUGAACCGUGAGGCUUAACCUUACAACGCCGAAG